AUUCCAGCUCCAAUAGCGUAUAUUAAAGUUGUUGCAGUUAAAAAGCUCGUAGUUGGACUUGUGAUAGUGCCUGUGGUCCAAAAUGUUUUGAACUGAUGGUGCAUUAUCUUCUUUGGGUGGAACCUGUAAGGCAUUAGGUUGUUUUGCAGGGAAUGCCCAACGUUUACUGUGAAGAAAUUAGAGUGUUCAAAGCAGGCUUACGCCAUUGAAUAGACUAGCAUGGAAUAAUGAGAUAGGACUCUGGUGCUAUUUUGUUGGUUUGUGCACUGAAGUAAUGACUAAUAGGGACAGUUGGGGGUAUUCGUAUUUCAUUGUCAGAGGUGAAAUUCUUGGAUUUUUGGAAGACGAACUACUGCGAAAGCAUUUACCAAGGAUGUU
This 378-nucleotide ribosomal RNA is filed under the name Pinnularia isselana. RNAcentral describes it as "SSU rRNA". It matches the Rfam family "Eukaryotic small subunit ribosomal RNA", at positions 582 to 968 of the family's 1831-position model. Lineage: Eukaryota; Bacillariophyta; Bacillariophyceae; Sellaphorales; Pinnulariaceae. The record is from RNAcentral.